ACACUUCAUUUCGGUGGAAAUAGGUUAUGAUUUCUGGGGCGCAGAUCGUUUUCGUCAAAAAAUUGAGUGUGCAAAGCAGCAGAUUUAUCCAUUCUGCCACCGAAUACAUUAGCAUGGGAUAAGGAAUAGACCCUGUCCUCCUAUUUAGUGUUGGUUUUUGAGGACCAGGGUAAUGAUUAAUAGGAUAGUUGGGGGCAUUAAUAUUUAAUUGUCAGAGGUGAAAUUCUUGGAUUUAUGAAAGAUUAACUUCUGCGAAAGCAUCUGCCAAGAUGUUUUCUUUAAUCAAAAAGAAAGUUAGGGGGUCGAAGCGAUCAAAUACCGUCGUAGUCUUUCCCAUAAACGAUGCCGACCAGCGAUUGGGGGGCGUUUAAUAAAAAACACCCCCCAUUAACUCGCAUCGUUUUUUUUAAAUAUUGCCCCAUAUGCAAAUGUGUGGUUGUGUUUUAAGGAAACGCGAUUUGUCUUAAUGGCCCGGUGAAUGACUCCCCUAGCAGCUUGUGAGAAAUCAUAAGUCUUUGGGUUCCGGGGGGAGUAUGGUCGCAAGGCUGAAACUUAAGGAAUUGACGGAAGGGCACCACCAGAGUGGAGCCUGCGGCUUAAUUGACUCAACACGGGGAAACUUACCAGUCCGGACAUGUAGGAUGAAAUGAUGCUCUUUCUGAUUCUAGGGGGUGUGCAGGCCGUUCUUA
RNAcentral lists this ribosomal RNA (689 nucleotides) under Acanthamoeba cf. healyi. RNAcentral describes it as "partial 18S ribosomal RNA". It matches the Rfam family "Eukaryotic small subunit ribosomal RNA", at positions 703 to 1296 of the family's 1831-position model. The record is from RNAcentral. Lineage: Eukaryota; Discosea; Longamoebia; Acanthamoebidae.